This 72-nucleotide transfer RNA is filed under the name Pyricularia oryzae. RNAcentral describes it as "tRNA-Ala (AGC) (tRNA-Ala-AGC-3-1)". It matches the Rfam family "tRNA". Rfam says of the family: Transfer RNA (tRNA) molecules are approximately 80 nucleotides in length. RNAcentral also lists the same sequence under 3 other names. Lineage: Eukaryota; Fungi; Ascomycota; Sordariomycetes; Magnaporthales; Pyriculariaceae. The record is from RNAcentral.
GGGGAUGUGGUUUAGUGGUACAAUGCUUCCUUAGCAUGGAAGAGGUCCCGAGUUCGAUUCUUGGCGUCUCCA